This 300-nucleotide unclassified non-coding RNA is filed under the name uncultured Parasola. Its description in RNAcentral is "sequence contains 5.8S rRNA gene, ITS2". The stretch from base 1 to 71 matches the Rfam family "5.8S ribosomal RNA", at positions 84 to 154 of the family's 154-position model. The record is from RNAcentral. Lineage: Eukaryota; Fungi; Basidiomycota; Agaricomycetes; Agaricales; Psathyrellaceae.
GUGAAUCAUCGAAUCUUUGAACGCACCUUGCGCUCCUUGGUAUUCCGAGGAGCAUGCCUGUUUGAGUGUCAUUAAAUUCUCAACCUCACCUGGUUUCUGACUUGUGUGAUGGCUUGGAUUUGGGAGUUGUGCAGGCUGUAGUUAUCUGCGGCUCUGCUCUCCUUNAAUGUAUUAGCAGGUCUUUUACCUCUAUCCCAACAGUGUGAUAAUCUAUCUACGCUGCUGGUUUGGAGACCCACUUGUGGGGGACUGGCUUCUAAUCGUCUGCAAAGACAACUUGACAUUCUUGACCUCAAAUCA